This 651-nucleotide ribosomal RNA is filed under the name uncultured bacterium. RNAcentral describes it as "bacterial SSU rRNA". It matches the Rfam family "Bacterial small subunit ribosomal RNA", at positions 8 to 654 of the family's 1533-position model. The record is from RNAcentral.
AGAGUUUGAUCCUGGCUCAGAUUGAACGCUGGCGGCAUGCCUUACACAUGCAAGUCGAACGGCAGCACGGGAGCAAUCCUGGUGGCGAGUGGCGAACGGGUGAGUAAUAUAUCGGAACGUGCCCAGUCGUGGGGGAUAACGUAGCGAAAGCUACGCUAAUACCGCAUACGAUCUAUGGAUGAGAGCGGGGGAUCGAAAGACCUCGCGCGAUUGGAGCGGCCGAUAUCAGAUUAGGUAGUUGGUGAGGUAAAGGCUCACCAAGCCGACGAUCUGUAGCUGGUCUGAGAGGACGACCAGCCACACUGGGACUGAGACACGGCCCAGACUCCUACGGGAGGCAGCAGUGGGGAAUUUUGGACAAUGGGCGCAAGCCUGAUCCAGCAAUGCCGCGUGCAGGAUGAAGGCCUUCGGGUUGUAAACUGCUUUUGUACGGAACGAAACGGUGAGCUCUAAUACAGUUUGCUAAUGACGGUACCGUAAGAAUAAACACCGGCUAACUACGUGCCAGCAGCCGCGGUAAUACGUAGGGUGCGAGCGUUAAUCGGAAUUACUGGGCGUAAAGCGUGCGCAGGCGGUGAUGUAAGACAGAUGUGAAAUGCCCGGGCUCAACCUGNGACCUGCAUUUGUGACUGCAUCGCUAGAGUACGGUAG